RNA transcript from Mauremys mutica (yellowpond turtle), 1938 nucleotides. It is a transcript of the gene named small integral membrane protein 19-like, with no coding region annotated. The transcript has 4 exons. Lineage: Eukaryota; Metazoa; Chordata; Testudines; Geoemydidae. The record is from RefSeq and is a predicted model, not a curated record.
UGACCUCACGUCCGGUGCGCUCCAGUGUUGUGUACCCGGGGGGAGCGGGCGCGGCUUUCCGCCCCGGCGCUUUAUGGCAGCGGUAGGCGCGGGCGGGGGCGCCGCGGGGCCCGGUGUCAUGAGCGACAGCGACGCCAUCGACUACUCAGUGCACGAGGCCUGGAACGAGGCGACCAACGUCUACCUGCUGGUGGUGCUGGCCAGCCUGGCGCUGCUGGUCUACGCCCGCCGGAAUAAAAGGAAGAUCAUGCGAAUAUUCACAGUGCCUCCUACAGCAGAGGCACCGUCAGAGCCAAACUUUUAUGAUAGUAUGAAAAAAAUUCGCUUACGACAACAAUUAGAGAUGUAUUCUCUCGGGUGACAACUCUCCUUUCCAUCUUCCCUGGCUUUCAUUAGGAUGUCUUAAGUCUACCCUCUGGGUUUCCAGAACAGCAAGGAAGUAUGACCAGCAGCCGCCACAGAAACAGACUGACAGCGUACAGCUCUUAAUGGAAUGAAGUCUCAAAUUAUGGGAACUCAAGCAAUUUUUACAGUGCUGAUAAUGACAGGAGAGUUGGUAUGGAGUCAUUUUCAAAGGAACUUUAAUGGCAUAUGUUUUUUAAAAAACCCUCUCCUAUAAAUAUAUUUCUUGGAAACUUUUCUUUGGACCUGUUUAGAUACUUACCGAACAUCUGCUGAUUCUUUAAAAAUGAAAUGCUCAAAGAAACACUUGAGGGAAGAUGGCUGUAGUCCAUACUAAAGAGAUGUUCAAAAUGUUCCAGUGGUUUCCACUGUUGCCAAUACUUUGGUGGGCAGCUCCUUUGCUGAACCAGGGGUAUUUUUGCAACAUGGCAGUAGAGGACAUUGGGGUUAUUGGGUAAGUUUCUACUGUCUGUCUCCUCCUCUGAUGGUUUCUUAGGGGAACACAUGGAAAAGUCAUGCAGUGCCUAUGUGCCUGAACAUUGCCAAGUUGUAUGUCUCAUUUGAACACCAUUGGCUUCUGCUGUCAGGGACUACAGAACACUUACAAUACACAUAAUUGUGCUGCUGUAAAUUCACAGCUGAAAUGAAUAGCUCUUGAGAGCCAGAAAUUUAUAUCAUUGGCCUUAUGGAAAAAAGGAAAAAAAUGAAAUUUUCAUCUGUACGGAGAGCAUAAUUAUAGUACUGCAUCUUUUCCAUGCUAAAGCUUUAAUGAAAGCUAAGAUCAGAAGGGUAGUACAUAAGUCUUGUUUGCUAAAGGACUGUAUAUUGAAAUGCUGUAGCAAAGAUUAUUAAAAUUAGAGAGGACUCCAAUAAACCAGCUAGCUAAGUGAGGUCUCUCUGUGGCUAGCUGGAGCACUUGAUUGCCUGUUCUUUUCAUUCCCUCUGAAGCACCUGGGAUUGGCCACUGUUGGAAGAUGGACCAUUGGUUUGAUCCAGUAUGGCCAUUCUUAUGUCCUCCCCCAGUCCCAGGGGCAGUUAUCAGCCAGUGCAAUCUGGUGAGUCUCUUAGGAUCAGAUUGGGACAGAAAAUCUGAUUUGUAUCCUUUAAAAUGCCAGUAGAGCUGUAUAAACUAUAAUCUGUACAGAGGGAGAAAUAAUACAAAGAGAGAAAUAGAGGGAGGAAAUGAUGAUUCUGACAGGAAAAAUGCAGGUGAAUACAUCUGUAAAAUAAUAUUCAGUGGGCGGGGAAGUUAAACUUGUAAACAUGUUGGAUAUCAGAGAAAUUAGAGAUUGAAGAAAUGUAUUAAUUUGUCUGUCCUGCUAGUGAAGGAUUGUAUUUAUACUAAAGUUUCUACUUGUACAUUUCAAGUGGUGGAUCUUCCUUUGGAAGAUUAGAUCUCAUGUUGGGAAGUUUAUCCUGAUUUUCAGCCUUAAUUUCCCCUUCUUAAAGUACUCCUGGGUAUGUGAAAUGCUGUUUUUUGUAUUAUGUUUUAAUUUGUUUAAUGGCAUUGAAUAGUAAAAUACAUAUUGAGCUGAA